CAAGUCGAGCGAACAGAUAAGGAGCUUGCUCCUUUGACGUUAGCGGCGGACGGGUGAGUAACACGUGGGUAACCUACCUAUAAGACUGGGAUAACUUCGGGAAACCGGAGCUAAUACCGGAUAACAUUUGGAACCGCAUGGUUCAAAAGUGAAAGACGGUCUUGCUGUCACUUAUAGAUGGAUCCGCGCUGCAUUAGCUAGUUGAUAAGGUAACGGCUUACCAAGGCAACGAUGCAUAGCCGACCUGAGAGGGUGAUCGGCCACACUGGAACCGAGACACGGUCGCGACUCCUACGGAGAGGCAGCAGUAGGGAAUCUUCCGCAAUGGGCGAAAGCCUGACGGAGCAACGCCGCGUGAGUGAUGAAGGUCUUCGGAUCGUAGAACUCUGUUAUUAGGGAAGAACAUAUGUGUAAGUAACUGUGCACAUCUUGACGGUACCUAAUCAGAAAGCCACGGCUAACUACGUGCCAGCAGCCGCGGUAAUACGUAGGUGGCAAGCGUUAUCCGGAAUUAUUGGGCGUAAAGCGCGCGUAGGCGGUUUUUUAAGUCUGAUGUGAAAGCCCACGGCUCAACCGUGGAGGGUCAUUGGAAACUGGAAAACUUGAGUGCAGAAGAGGAAAGUGGAAUUCCAUGUGUAGCGGUGAAAUGCGCAGAGAUAUGGAGGAACACCAGUGGCGAAGGCGACU
This 687-nucleotide ribosomal RNA is filed under the name uncultured Staphylococcus sp. Its description in RNAcentral is "bacterial SSU rRNA". It matches the Rfam family "Bacterial small subunit ribosomal RNA", at positions 58 to 726 of the family's 1533-position model. The record is from RNAcentral. Lineage: Bacteria; Bacillati; Bacillota; Bacilli; Caryophanales; Staphylococcaceae.